RNAcentral lists this microRNA precursor (100 nucleotides) under Marmota monax (woodchuck). The record is from RNAcentral. Lineage: Eukaryota; Metazoa; Chordata; Mammalia; Rodentia; Sciuridae.
AGUGGGGAUAGCUGGUCAAAUGGUUUCAUUCCAAGUUUUCUGAGGAAUCUCCAUACUGCUUUCCAGAGUGGUUGUACCAAUCUGCAGUCCCACCAGCAAU